AAAUUGAAGAGUUUGAUCAUGGCUCAGAUUGAACGCUGGCGGCAGGCCUAACACAUGCAAGUCGAGCGGUAGCACAGAGAGCUUGCUCUCGGGUGACGAGCGGCGGACGGGUGAGUAAUGUCUGGGAAACUGCCUGAUGGAGGGGGAUAACUACUGGAAACGGUAGCUAAUACCGCAUAACGUCGCAAGACCAAAGUGGGGGACCUUCGGGCCUCAUGCCAUCAGAUGUGCCCAGAUGGGAUUAGCUAGUAGGUGGGGUAACGGCUCACCUAGGCGACGAUCCCUAGCUGGUCUGAGAGGAUGACCAGCCACACUGGAACUGAGACACGGUCCAGACUCCUACGGGAGGCAGCAGUGGGGAAUAUUGCACAAUGGGCGCAAGCCUGAUGCAGCCAUGCCGCGUGUGUGAAGAAGGCCUUCGGGUUGUAAAGCACUUUCAGCGGGGAGGAAGGCGNNNNNNNNNNNNNNNNNNNNNNNNNNNNNNNNNNNNNNNNNNNNNNNNNNNNNNNNNNNAACCUGGGAACUGCAUUCGAAACUGGCAGGCUAGAGUCUUGUAGAGGGGGGUAGAAUUCCAGGUGUAGCGGUGAAAUGCGUAGAGAUCUGGAGGAAUACCGGUGGCGAAGGCGGCCCCCUGGACAAAGACUGACGCUCAGGUGCGAAAGCGUGGGGAGCAAACAGGAUUAGAUACCCUGGUAGUCCACGCCGUAAACGAUGUCGAUUUGGAGGUUGUGCCCUUGAGGCGUGGCUUCCGGAGCUAACGCGUUAAAUCGACCGCCUGGGGAGUACGGCCGCAAGGUUAAAACUCAAAUGAAUUGACGGGGGCCCGCACAAGCGGUGGAGCAUGUGGUUUAAUUCGAUGCAACGCGAAGAACCUUACCUGGUCUUGACAUCCACAGAACUUUCCAGAGAUGGAUUGGUGCCUUCGGGAACUGUGAGACAGGUGCUGCAUGGCUGUCGUCAGCUCGUGUUGUGAAAUGUUGGGUUAAGUCCCGCAACGAGCGCAACCCUUAUCCUUUGUUGCCAGCGGUCCGGCCGGGAACUCAAAGGAGACUGCCAGUGAUAAACUGGAGGAAGGUGGGGAUGACGUCAAGUCAUCAUGGCCCUUACGACCAGGGCUACACACGUGCUACAAUGGCAUAUACAAAGAGAAGCGACCUCGCGAGAGCAAGCGGACCUCAUAAAGUAUGUCGUAGUCCGGAUUGGAGUCUGCAACUCGACUCCAUGAAGUCGGAAUCGCUAGUAAUCGUAGAUCAGAAUGCUACGGUGAAUACGUUCCCGGGCCUUGUACACACCGCCCGUCACACCAUGGGAGUGGGUUGCAAAAGAAGUAGGUAGCUUAACCUUCGGGAGGGCGCUUACCACUUUGUGAUUCAUGACUGGGGUGAAGUCGUAACAAGGUAACCGUAGGGGAACCUGCGGUUGGAUCACCUCCUUACCUUAAAGAA
RNAcentral lists this ribosomal RNA (1445 nucleotides) under Klebsiella pneumoniae. RNAcentral describes it as "16S ribosomal RNA". It matches the Rfam family "Bacterial small subunit ribosomal RNA". The record is from RNAcentral. Lineage: Bacteria; Pseudomonadati; Pseudomonadota; Gammaproteobacteria; Enterobacterales; Enterobacteriaceae.